Molecule: unclassified non-coding RNA, 309 nt
Filed under: Hevea brasiliensis (rubber tree)
Lineage: Eukaryota; Viridiplantae; Streptophyta; Magnoliopsida; Malpighiales; Euphorbiaceae
Source: RNAcentral
CACAGGGCAACCCAUGUAUGGGUGACUGAAGAUGAUGGUGAUGAUGUUUUGGUUGGCGUGGUUGGUUAUGCAGAUAUUCUAUUUGCAGUAACCAAACCACCUUCAUCCUUUAUUCCAGUUAAUCGAUCUUCUGAGGGUUUUGCAGCUGAAAUUCAAAAUUGACUUGUAUUUAUUUACCAUAUUCACAUUUGCUUGUUAGCGUGCUUUACUUCAGCAGUUUUUGGGGGUUGAGGGAUUUUAGCUUUGUGGGGUUUCAUGAAUGUUUCUUGAUGAGUUUUAUAGUGUUGUAAUAAUAAAAUAAUGUUUUGC